AGGCCUGGCGUGACAAUCGGUCUGAGCGGGCGCAGUGGCGGCAGCCGCUGCACCCGCGUGGCUAGAAGCCCACGGUCUGCAGGCGAGUUGAGGUUUCAGACUCUUCAGCAGACAGCAGGAUGGGCUGCGCCAGGACACAGAUGACCGCUGGAUGUGCGAAAAAAGGGUCAGCACGUGAGCCACCAGGUCAUUCCAGCUUCGGCCGUGGGGCCCCGCUCAGACGCGCGCCUGUCUCCUGGUGAAAUCCUGGAGGCUGUCCUUUCCACCGUCCUGUCUGCACGAGGAGGACACGGGGGUCAGCUUCCUGGGAGAAGGGAGUCGUCCGGAUGGCUGGUCCCCGGAGGGGUGACUUACUGCAUGAACAUCGAAAUCAGAUGAACCCUGACGGCGACAGCGAUGGUGCACGGGCCCCUCACCCCGAUACCCAGGACCCAGAGAGGAUCGGCUGGAAGUGAUGGACACGAAACCACCGCCCCCCGCCCCGGAUAAAGUGGCAGGAGCAGCGACACGUGAGUGUCCGAGGCUGCUCUGUCUGUUCAUGUCCCCGAGUUCACGUGUGGAGUCCUAACCCCCCAGUGACAGUGUGAGGAGGUGGGGCCUUUGGAGGCCACGGGGUCAUGAGGGUGGGGCUUUAUGCUGCUGUAAGACAGCCCUCAGGGUGUUCCUGUCUUGGCCCAGUGGUUAACAAAUCUGACUAGGAACCGCGAGGUUGCGGGUUUGAUCCCUGGCCUUGCUCAGUGGGUUAAGGAUCUGGCAUUGCCGGGAGCUGUAGUGUAGGCCGGCAGCUACAGCUCCUAUUGGACCCCUUGCCUGGGAAUCUCCGUAUGCCGUGGGAGUGGCCCAAGAAAUGGCAGAAAGACAAGGAAAAAAAAAAAAAAAAA
Molecule: long non-coding RNA, 881 nt
Filed under: Sus scrofa (pig)
Lineage: Eukaryota; Metazoa; Chordata; Mammalia; Artiodactyla; Suidae
Description: lncRNA (ENSSSCG00050014283.1)
Source: RNAcentral